AGAGCGAACGCUGGCGGCAGGCCUAACACAUGCAAGUCGAGCGCCCGUAGCAAUACGGGAGCGGCAGACGGGAUAGUAACACGUGGGAACGCGCCCUUCGGUUCGGAAUAACUCAGGGAAACUUGAGCUAAUACCGGAUACGCCCUUACGGGGAAAGAUUUAUUGCCGAAGGAACGGCCCGCGUCCGAUUAGCUAGUUGGUGAGGUAAUGGCUCACCAAGGCGACGAUCGGUAGCUGGUCUGAGAGGAUGACCAGCAUCACUGGGACUGAGACACGGCCCAGACUCCUACGGGAGGCAGCAGUGGGGAAUAUUGGACAAUGGGCGCAAGCCUGAUCCAGCCAUGCCGCGUGGAUGAUAAAGGCCUUAGGGUUGUAAAGUCCUUUUAACGGGAAGAUAAUGACGGUACCCGUAGAAUAAGCCCCGGCUAACUUCGCGCCAGCAGCCGC
Molecule: ribosomal RNA, 447 nt
Filed under: uncultured bacterium
Lineage: Bacteria
Description: SSU rRNA
Rfam family: Bacterial small subunit ribosomal RNA
Source: RNAcentral